UUGCCUUUGUCACCCAGACGAUAACGGUGUACGUCAACUACCACUGAUAUUGUUAGAGUAGGUAAUAGAGGCUAUCGCUAUCACGAAUUGGUAUAUCAGAUGGUUGGAGAUGUUGUUGAUAUAGGGAUGCAUUCUGUUGGACCAUAUGAUCCAGAGAUAGUGUUGGACAUUUAUAUAAAUUAUGCCAAACUUUUUCAAAAUUUAUAUGAG
Long non-coding RNA from Patella vulgata (common limpet), 210 nucleotides. RefSeq lists it as uncharacterized. NCBI's taxonomy places the organism in Eukaryota, Metazoa, Mollusca, Gastropoda, Patellidae. The transcript has 3 exons. The record is from RefSeq and is a predicted model, not a curated record.